GACGAACGCUGGCGGCGUGCUUAACACAUGCAAGUCGAGCGGAGAUAAGCGGAAGGUAACUGAAGCUUAUCUUAGCGGCGGACGGGUGAGUAACACGUGGGCAACCUGCCUUGAAGUGGGGGAUAACACCGGGAAAUCGGUGCUAAUACCGCAUAACAUACACAAACUGCAUGGUAAGUGUAUCAAAGGAGCAAUCCGCUUUAAGAUGGGCCCGCGGCUGAUUAGCUAGUUGGUAAGGUAACGGCUUACCAAGGCGACGAUCAGUAGCCGACCUGAGAGGGUGACCGGCCACACUGGAACUGAGACACGGUCCAGACUCCUACGGGAGGCAGCAGUGGGGAAUAUUGCGCAAUGGGGGAAACCCUGACGCAGCAACGCCGCGUGGAGGAAGAAGGUCUUCGGAUUGUAAACUCCUGUCUUCUGGGACGAAGUAUGACGGUACCAGAGGAGGAAGCCACGGCUAACUACGUG
This 471-nucleotide ribosomal RNA is filed under the name uncultured bacterium. RNAcentral describes it as "bacterial SSU rRNA". It matches the Rfam family "Bacterial small subunit ribosomal RNA", at positions 28 to 507 of the family's 1533-position model. The record is from RNAcentral.